UACGUAGGGGCCGAGCGUUGUCCGGAAUUACUGGGCGUAAAGCGCGCGCAGGCGGCUGGUCAAGCCCGACGUGAAAGCCCCCGGCUCAACCGGGGAGGGUCGUCGGGGACUGAUCGGCUUGAGGGCGGUAGGGGCCGGUGGAAUUCCCGGUGUAGUGGUGAAAUGCGUUGAUAUCGGAAGGAACGCCGGUGGCGAAAGCGCUCUGCUGGACCUCUUCUGACGCUGAGGCGCGAAAGCCAGGGGAGCAAACGGG
Molecule: ribosomal RNA, 253 nt
Filed under: uncultured bacterium
Lineage: Bacteria
Description: partial 16S ribosomal RNA
Rfam family: Bacterial small subunit ribosomal RNA
Source: RNAcentral